CGGGGUGAGUAAUGUCUGGGAAACUGCCUGAUGGAGGGGGAUAACUGCUGGAAACGGUAGCUAAUACCGCAUAACGUCGCAAGACCAAAGAGGGGGACCUUCGGGCCUCUUGCCAUCGGAUGUGCCCAGAUGGGAUUAGCUAGUAGGUGGGGUAACGGCUCACCUAGGCGACGAUCCUAGCUGGUCUGAGAGGAUGCCAGCCACACUGGAACUGAGACACGGUCCAG
This 227-nucleotide ribosomal RNA is filed under the name uncultured bacterium. RNAcentral's name for it is "partial 16S ribosomal RNA". It matches the Rfam family "Bacterial small subunit ribosomal RNA", at positions 104 to 334 of the family's 1533-position model. The record is from RNAcentral.